UCCGAGUUGUAAUUUGUAGAGGAUGUUUCGGGUACCGCCUCGGUCUAAAUUUCUUGGAACAGAAUGUCAAAGAGGGUGAGAAUCCCGUCUUGGACCGGCGGUAGGGCCCAUGUGAAACUCCUUCGACGAGUCGAGUUGUUUGGGAAUGCAGCUCAAAAUGGGUGGUAAAUUUCAUCUAAAGCUAAAUAUUGGCCAGAGACCGAUAGCGCACAAGUAGAGUGAUCGAAAGAUGAAAAGCACUUUGAAAAGAGAGUUAAACAGUAUGUGAAAUUGUUGAAAGGGAAGCGCUUGCAACCAGACUUGAGCGCGGCGGUUCCCCCUUCCUUUUGGUUGGGUUACUCCGCCGUGUCCAGGCCAACAUCGGUUCUGGGGGUCGGUUAAAGGCCCGAGGAAUGUAUCUACUCCUUCGGGGGUAGACUUAUAGCCUCGGGUGUCAUGCGACCUCCCGGGACCGAGGAACGCGCUUCGGCUCGGAUGUUGGCGUAAUGGUUGUCAGCGACCCGUCUUGAAACACGGACCAAGGAGUCUAACAUCUAUGCGAGUGUUUGGGUGUCAAACCCGGAACGCGGAAUGAAAGUGAACGGAGGUAGGAAGCCGCAAGGCUGCACUAUCGACCGAUCCUGAUGUCUUCGGAUGGAUUUGAGUAAGAGCAUAGCUGUUGGGACCCGAAAGAUGGUGAACUAUGCCUGAAUAGGGUGAAGCCAGAGGAAACUCUGGUGGAGGCUCGCAGCGGUUCUGACGUGCAAAUCGAUCGUCAAAUUUGGGUAUAGGG
This 772-nucleotide ribosomal RNA is filed under the name Exophiala jeanselmei. RNAcentral's name for it is "eukaryotic LSU rRNA". It matches the Rfam family "Eukaryotic large subunit ribosomal RNA", at positions 137 to 922 of the family's 3401-position model. Lineage: Eukaryota; Fungi; Ascomycota; Eurotiomycetes; Chaetothyriales; Herpotrichiellaceae. The record is from RNAcentral.